This is a long non-coding RNA of Notolabrus celidotus (New Zealand spotty), 982 nucleotides long. RefSeq lists it as uncharacterized. Lineage: Eukaryota; Metazoa; Chordata; Actinopteri; Labriformes; Labridae. The transcript has 4 exons. The record is from RefSeq and is a predicted model, not a curated record.
CUGUGUUUAUGUAUGAACCAAAAGUCAAGUCAAAGAAUGCCCUCCUGUUAAAAGUUAGACUUGGUGUGACACCGACUUACCUGCUCACGGAGCACCGUGCAGCUCCUCAUUCACCCUCCUCCACUUCCAUAACAGCAGUCAGUGUUUAAAUGUCUGCAACUAAACGAACUCCGGCGCUGGAUGGCACGAGCUCUCCCCGGCUCCCGUGCCGACAGUCUCUCACCCUGCUUCCUGUUUCUUGAAGUGAAAGCACCAGACGUGCUCACUGCGAAACCGAGGAGGCAGUUUAGUGGGACAUCCUGAUAAGCACCAGGCAGAAAGGCUCCAACUAUUCCCCAGCCAGGCAUCCACUCCAACUAUUGUCCAUUGUUUGAAAGGCACAGGAUGUCAAAUUUGGACAGCAGAUGCAUCUGGGGUAAUCCCAACAAGCUGUCGCUUGUACUUGUAGGCACAACAUCCAAGACUUGGUCCUGCUUUGAGUUGCUCGGCUCCUCAUCAGGAUAAAUGACUAGGAAACAGGCAGUAAGGAAGCCGAGGAAGGAGCCACCAGAGGCCACUGCAGGAAUAACACGCACACUGCCAACUGCUUCAACCACAGCUCCAAGGGCUGAUGCAACCAAAAUCUGGCUGAUAUAGACCUGUGUGUCAAACAAAAUAGAAUCAUUCUUCUCAUUAUAAAUUGCAAUGCAAUCCUUAUCUGAAUGAGCAUUAAAAGAUAACCACAGUCUUAACACUGGUGACUCUAAAUAGCUCAAAGGCAGAGCAUCAUGCUUUAAUAGUUUGAGUUUACACAGUGUGUAUAAAUAAAUUUCGAUCUAACAGGGUAUCAUUGUGAAUGCUCACCUGGCAGGAUAAGAUGGCGCAGUCAAUACCAAAGCCUCUUCUAGUGUUAGCUGGACUGUGGUGAAUGUACUGAGGAGAGGAACAGUGGAGGAGACAUCAUUGAUUUAAAUGCAUAUUAAAUAAACUGUUAAGCACUUUA